AUUCUCUUAGUAUAAUUAAUAUAACUGACUUCCAAUCAGUAGAUUCUGAAACAACGGAAGAGAAUA
This 66-nucleotide transfer RNA is filed under the name Mastomys kollmannspergeri (Kollmannsperger's Mastomys). Its description in RNAcentral is "tRNA-Gly". Lineage: Eukaryota; Metazoa; Chordata; Mammalia; Rodentia; Muridae. The record is from RNAcentral.